Molecule: ribosomal RNA, 164 nt
Filed under: Moeroris rotundifolia
Lineage: Eukaryota; Viridiplantae; Streptophyta; Magnoliopsida; Malpighiales; Phyllanthaceae
Description: Phyllanthus rotundifolius 5.8S ribosomal RNA
Rfam family: 5.8S ribosomal RNA
About the family: 5.8S ribosomal RNA (5.8S rRNA) is a component of the large subunit of the eukaryotic ribosome. It is transcribed by RNA polymerase I as part of the 45S precursor that also contains 18S and 28S rRNA.
Source: RNAcentral
AUAACGACUCUCGGCAACGGAUAUCUCGGCUCUCGCAUCGAUGAAGAACGUAGCAAAAUGCGAUACUUGGUGUGAAUUGCAGAAUCCCGUGAACCAUCGAGUUUUUGAACGCAAGUUGCGCCCGAAGCCUUUUGGUCGAGGGCACGUCUGCCUGGGUGUCACGC